RNAcentral lists this ribosomal RNA (954 nucleotides) under uncultured Methylophilus sp. RNAcentral's name for it is "bacterial SSU rRNA". It matches the Rfam family "Bacterial small subunit ribosomal RNA", at positions 45 to 991 of the family's 1533-position model. The record is from RNAcentral. Lineage: Bacteria; Pseudomonadati; Pseudomonadota; Betaproteobacteria; Nitrosomonadales; Methylophilaceae.
UGCUUUACACAUGCAAGUCGAACGGCCAGCACGGACUUCGGUUCUGUUGGCGAGUGGCGAACGGUUGAGUAAUAUAUCGGAACGUAUCCAAUAAUGGGGGAUAACUAAUCGAAAGGUUGGCUAAUACCGCAUACGCCCUACGGGGGAAAGCUAGGACCUUCGGGCCUGGCGUUAAUGGAGCGGCUGAUAUCUGAUUAGCUAGUAGGUGAGGUAAAGGCUCACCUAGCGACGAUCAGUAGCUGGUCUGAGAGGACGACCAGCCACACUGGAACUGAGACACGGUCCAGACUCCUACGGGAGGCAGCAGUGGGGAAUUUUGGACAAUGGGCGAAAGCCUGAUCCAGCCAUUCCGCGUGAGUGAAGAAGGCCUUCGGGUUGUAAAGCUCUUUCGCAAGGGAAGAAAACUUAGGCGCUAAUAUCGCUUGAGGUUGACGGUACCUUGAUAAGAAGCACCGGCUAACUACGUGCCAGCAGCCGCGGUAUACGUAGGGUGCGAGCGUUAAUCGGAAUUACUGGGCGUAAAGCGUGCGCAGGCGGUUUUGUAAGUCAGAUGUGAAAUCCCCGAGCUCAACUUGGGAACUGCGUUUGAAACUAUAAGACUAGAAUAUGUCAGAGGGGGGUAGAAUUCCACGUGUAGCAGUGAAAUGCGUAGAGAUGUGGAGGAAUACCAAUGGCGAAGGCAGCCCCCUGGGAUAAUAUUGACGCUCAUGCACGAAAGCGUGGGGAGCAAACAGGAUAGAUACCCUGGUAGUCCACGCCCUAAACGAUGUCUACUAGUUGUUGGUGGAGUAAAAUCCAUGAGUAACGCAGCUAACGCGUGAAGUAGACCGCCUGGGGAGUACGGUCGCAAGAUUAAAACUCAAAUGAAUUGACGGGGGCCCGCACAAGCGGUGGGAUUAUGUUGGAUUAAUUCGAUUGCAACGCGAAAAAACUUACCUGGGCCUUGACAUUGUA